RNAcentral lists this ribosomal RNA (497 nucleotides) under uncultured bacterium. Its description in RNAcentral is "partial 16S ribosomal RNA". It matches the Rfam family "Bacterial small subunit ribosomal RNA", at positions 29 to 507 of the family's 1533-position model. The record is from RNAcentral.
AGUGAACGCUGGCGGCAUGCCUAACACAUGCAAGUCGAGCGGCCGCACGGGAAGAGCUCUUUCCUGCUGUUGGCGACGGGCGGGUGAGUAAGAAAUAGAUAAGAAUCCACUUUGUCUGGGGUGAUUACGGAAGGAAGCAUACGAUAAUGGCGCAUAUGUCCAACGGGUUAAAUCAAAGGAUCUUGAGGCCUUUGCUGAUACUAUGAGAUGAUGUCGGGUUGCAUUAGCUAGUUGGUAAGGUAACGGCAUACCAAGGCAACGAUGCAUAGCCGACCUGAGAGGGUGAUCGGCCACACUGGAACUGAGACACGGUCCAGACUCCUACGGGAGGCAGCAGUAGGGAAUCUUCCGCAAUGGGCGAAAGCCUGACGGAGCAACGCCGCGUGAGUGAUGAAGGUCUUCGGAUCGUAAAGCUCUGUUAUUAGGGAAGAACAUAUGUGUAAGUAACUGUGCACAUCUUGACGGUACCUAAACAGAAAGCCACGGCUAACUACGUG